This 492-nucleotide ribosomal RNA is filed under the name uncultured bacterium. RNAcentral's name for it is "partial 16S ribosomal RNA". It matches the Rfam family "Bacterial small subunit ribosomal RNA", at positions 29 to 507 of the family's 1533-position model. The record is from RNAcentral.
AGUGAACGCUGGCGGUAGGCCUAACACAUGCAAGUCGAACGGCAGCACAGUAAGAGCCUGCUCUUACGGGUGGCGAGUGGCGGACGGGUGAGGAAUACAUCGGAAUCUACUUUUUCGUGGGGGAUAACGUAGGGAAACUUACGCUAAUACCGCAUACGACCUACGGGUGAAAGCAGGGGAUCUUCGGAACUUGCGCGAUUGAAUGAGCCGAUGUCGGAUUAGCUAGUUGGCGGGGUAAAGGCCCACCAAGGCGACGAUCCGUAGCUGGUCUGAGAGGAUGAUCAGCCACACUGGAACUGGGACACGGUCCCGACUCCUACGGGAGGGAGCAGUGGGGAAUAUUGGACAAUGGGCGCAAGCCUGAUCCAGCCAUACCGCGUGGGUGAAGAAGGCCUUCGGGUUGUAAAGCCCUUUUGUUGGGAAAGAAAAGCAGCAGGUUAAUACCCCGCUGUUCUGACGGUACCCAAAGAAUAAGCACCGGCUAACUUCGUG